AAUGGUGUGAUGAAUUCCUUACAGGAU
This 27-nucleotide non-coding RNA is filed under the name Mus musculus (house mouse). The record is from RNAcentral. Lineage: Eukaryota; Metazoa; Chordata; Mammalia; Rodentia; Muridae.